Molecule: ribosomal RNA, 386 nt
Filed under: uncultured bacterium
Lineage: Bacteria
Description: bacterial SSU rRNA
Rfam family: Bacterial small subunit ribosomal RNA
Source: RNAcentral
GACGAACGCUGGCGGCGUGCUUAACACAUGCAAGUCGAACGGUAAGGCCCUUCGGGGUACACGAGUGGCGAACGGGUGAGUAACACGUGGGUGAUCUGCCCUGCACUUCGGGAUAAGCCUGGGAAACUGGGUCUAAUACCGGAUAGGACCAUGGACUUCACGGUUUGUGGCGGAAAGCUUUUGCGGUGUGGGAUGGGCCCGCGGCCUAUCAGCUUGUUGGUGGGGUAAUGGCCUACCAAGGCGACGACGGGUAGCCGGCCUGAGAGGGUGUCCGGCCACACUGGGACUGAGAUACGGCCCAGACUCCUACGGGAGGCAGCAGUGGGGAAUAUUGCACAAUGGGCGCAAGCCUGAUGCAGCGACGCCGCGUGAGGGAUGACGGCCUC